Long non-coding RNA from Anneissia japonica, 419 nucleotides. RefSeq lists it as uncharacterized. The transcript has 3 exons. The record is from RefSeq and is a predicted model, not a curated record. Lineage: Eukaryota; Metazoa; Echinodermata; Crinoidea; Comatulida; Comatulidae.
GUUCAGCCAACCACGGAUAAUCUCAAAUCACCAAUGUGAUUGGUCACUUUAUCCAUGUUUAUCACUGAAGGCCAUGGAAAUUAACAAAGGUGCUUUUUUGAAUGUUAUCAGUUAACUGAAAUUUGUUAGUGGAUUAGAUCUCUUUCUCAGUGCACAUUCAUGAUGAUAAAACUGCAGCCAUAACCAUACAUUCUGAAGUAUUUCAGCAGUACCAAUAGAAUUUGUUGGUAAAGGAAUUUUUCUCAGUGAAAACUCAUGAAGUAAGAAAGCGUUGAUGUUUGUUUAAAGCCUUAAUGCGGCAGUCGGAGAAACAGGAAAUUACCUGACUUUCAAAGCAUGUGAAGCAAGGGUGAUAAUCCGAAGCCAUCUUGAUUCAAUAUUUCAAACUUAGUUUGGUCACUCUGCAGAAUCUACAAUGG